ACGGCUAACUACGUGCCAGCAGCCGCGGUAAUACGUAGGUGACAAGCGUUGUUCGGAUUCAUUGGGCGUAAAGGGUCCGCAGGUGGUUUGAUAAGUCUGACGUGAAAUACCGGAGCUCAACUCCGGAACUGCGUUGGAGACUGUUGAACUGGAGUAUCGGAGAGGAAAUUGGAAUUCCAGGUGUAGCGGUGGAAUGCGUAGAUAUCUGGAAGAACAUCGACAGCGAAGGCAGAUUUCUGGACGAUAACUGACACUCAGGGACGAAAGCAUGGGGAGCAAACAGGAUUAGAUACCCUGGUAGUCCAUGCCCUAAACGUUGUAAACUUGAUAUGGGAAGAUUUACUCCUUUCCGUGUCGAAGCUAACGCGAUAAGUUUACCGCCUGGGAACUACGGCCGCAAGGCUAAAACUCAAAGGAAUUGACGGGGGCCCGCACAAGCAGCGGAGCAUGUGGCUUAAUUCGAGGCAACGCGAAGAACCUUACCCGGAUUUGACAUAUACCGGAAGGGCGUGGAAACACGUCUGCUCGCAAGAGUCGGUAUACAGGUGCUGCAUGGCUGUCGUCAGCUCGUGCCGUGAGGUGUUCGGUUAAGUCCGGCAACGAGCGCAACCCAUGUCAUCAGUUGCCAGCAGGUAAAGCUGGGCACUCCGAUGAGACUGCCCGUGUUAAGCGGGAGGAAGGCGUGGAUGACGUCAAGUCCGUAUGGCCUUUAUAUCCGGGGCUGCACACGUGCUACAAUGGUCGGUACAGAAGGAAGCAAAGCCGCGAGGCGGAGCAGAUCCCCAAAACCGUGCCUUAGUUCAGAUUGCAGUCUGCAACUCGACUGCAUGAAGCCGGAAUCGCUAGUAAAGGCGUAUCAGCUACGACGCCUUGAAUACGUUCCCGGGCCUUGUACACACCGCCCGUCACAUCAUGGGAGCUGAUUGCACCCGAAGUCGCUGCCCCGACCCGCAAGGGAGGGAGGCGCCUAAGGUGUGGUUAGUGACUGGGAUGAAGUCGUAACAAGGUAGCCGUUGGGGAACCAGCGGCUG
Molecule: ribosomal RNA, 1031 nt
Filed under: human gut metagenome
Description: bacterial SSU rRNA
Rfam family: Bacterial small subunit ribosomal RNA
Source: RNAcentral